Molecule: ribosomal RNA, 158 nt
Filed under: Juniperus flaccida (drooping juniper)
Lineage: Eukaryota; Viridiplantae; Streptophyta; Pinopsida; Cupressales; Cupressaceae
Also listed under: 4 other names
Description: 5.8S ribosomal RNA
Rfam family: 5.8S ribosomal RNA
About the family: 5.8S ribosomal RNA (5.8S rRNA) is a component of the large subunit of the eukaryotic ribosome. It is transcribed by RNA polymerase I as part of the 45S precursor that also contains 18S and 28S rRNA. Functionally, it is thought that 5.8S rRNA may be involved in ribosome translocation.
Source: RNAcentral
ACGACUCUCGGCAACGGAUAUCUCGGCUCUCGCCACGAUGAAGAAUGUAGCGAAAUGCGAUACUUAGUGUGAAUUGCAGAAUCCCGUGAAUCAUCAAGUCUUUGAACGCAAGUUGCGCCCGAGGCCUCGGCCAAGGGCACGUCUGCUUGGGCGUCGCA